Nanorana parkeri is the source of this 184-nucleotide long non-coding RNA. RefSeq lists it as uncharacterized. The transcript has 2 exons. Lineage: Eukaryota; Metazoa; Chordata; Amphibia; Anura; Dicroglossidae. The record is from RefSeq and is a predicted model, not a curated record.
AUCUACUAAUCAUAGCAAUUUGUUCCCAUGAGCAACACCUCCCACUUUUUGUUUUCCUGACACCUUCUAGGUAAGGUCUUAAAGUAAACCCAUCAUGAGAGAGGCCUGCUUUUGAUUUGCUUUGCUGAUCAUGUUAUUAAAAUCCUAGUUUUCUGUUCUAUAUAAACUUCAUCUGCGCGAGUAU